UACGUAGGUGGCUAGCGUUGUCCGGAUUUACUGGGCGUAAAGAGCGCGCAGGCGGUCGUUCAAGUCGAGUGUGAAAGCCCCCGGCUCAACUGGGGAGGGUCACUCGAUACUGAUCGACUCGAAGGCAGGAGAGGGAAGCGGAAUUCCCGGUGUAGUGGUGAAAUGCGUAGAUAUCGGGAGGAACACCAGUGGCGAAGGCGGUUGCCUGGAGCUUUGCUGACGCUGAUGCGCGAAAGCGUGGGGAGCGAUCCGG
RNAcentral lists this ribosomal RNA (253 nucleotides) under uncultured bacterium. Its description in RNAcentral is "partial 16S ribosomal RNA". It matches the Rfam family "Bacterial small subunit ribosomal RNA", at positions 524 to 776 of the family's 1533-position model. The record is from RNAcentral.